UACGAAGGGGGCUAGCGUUGCUCGGAAUCACUGGGCGUAAAGGGUGCGUAGGCGGGUCUUUAAGUCAGGGGUGAAAUCCUGGAGCUCAACUCCAGAACUGCCUUUGAUACUGAGGAUCUUGAGUCCGGGAGAGGUGAGUGGAACUGCGAGUGUAGAGGUGAAAUUCGUAGAUAUUCGCAAGAACACCAGUGGCGAAGGCGGCUCACUGGCCCGGUACUGACGCUGAGGCACGAAGCGUGGGGAGCAAACAGG
RNAcentral lists this ribosomal RNA (252 nucleotides) under uncultured bacterium. RNAcentral's name for it is "partial 16S ribosomal RNA". It matches the Rfam family "Bacterial small subunit ribosomal RNA", at positions 524 to 776 of the family's 1533-position model. The record is from RNAcentral.